Long non-coding RNA from Balaenoptera acutorostrata (minke whale), 954 nucleotides. RefSeq lists it as uncharacterized. The transcript has 2 exons. Lineage: Eukaryota; Metazoa; Chordata; Mammalia; Artiodactyla; Balaenopteridae. The record is from RefSeq and is a predicted model, not a curated record.
CCUCGGGAGGCCCCUGUGAGCGCAGCCUCCUCCUCUGCGCUGCCCUGGGGAGCAGAAGUGACUCACGCGCGGGGAGACUGACUCAUGAGCUCCAUGGGCGGCAGAGCCCGGCAGGCAGCUUUCAGCUCAAUGCAAGGAAGAAUGUUCUCAUCAUGUAUAAAAUGGAACCUGUUGCCCUCGAAACAGAAGCUCCAGACACGGAGCCCUCCCUUUCUGGUGGCAGCUGGCACUGGGAGAGGAAGUGUGGCAGGGCCCGCUGAGUCACCCUCAUCGCUGCCCUUUGGGGAACCUCACCAGUCUCAAGACUUCCAGUUCUAAGAAGUCCUGCCCUUGGAUUCCGACACUGAGCCCACUAACGUGGGGUGAUGGGGGUGUGCUUCCCCACCAGACCUGGACCUCGUGAUGGUCCGCACCCCACACCGUGGUGGGGUGGGGCCUGGCUGGAUCCCCGUCUCCCCCCCGAGACCGUUUCCAGGAAGGACCUUAGCCCUUUUUCUCCAGCAUUUUACAGUGUUUUUAUUUUUGUUUUUUAAAGAGAAGCAAUUUACAAUGAAACACAGAUUUUAUGUGUGUAUUUGCUCAUCUUUUGACAAAUCUCGUACACUUGUGUAACCCAAACCUCUGUCAAGAUAUAGAGCAUUCCCAUCGCCCAUAAAGUUCCCGUGUGCCCCUUCCCAGUUAAUCCUGGCCCAGGCACAGGUAACCACUGUUUCAGCUUUUCCCACUGUAGAUUAUUUUGCCUGUUCUAGACCUUCGUGUACAUGGAAUUGACAGCGUGUUCUGGUCAGCACGGCGUUGGCUUCAUCCACAGCGGUGCAGGUGUCAGCCCUCCCCUCCCUCCUCCUGAGCAGUGCUGUGUUGCACAUGCUGCAGUGUGUUCAUUCAUUCUCCUGUGGAUGUUUCCAGUUCUCUGUUAUUAUAAAUAAAGCUCCAUGAACAUUCAUGUACAGGUAA